AUGCCUGAUCUGGAAGCAGUUUACAAGAUGGUUGAGGACAAAUACCACUGCUCGGACAAGCUUCUUCCUCCUGAUUUCUCCAUUCCUGGCCUCAUGGCCGAGAUAUGCCAGAGUGUCGUGCAGCUGGGCACUCAACAUACUGUGGAGCAUAUUACACAAUCACGUACCGUUGGUAACGGCAGCACGUCUAAAUGCGUGGAGGGUGGUUCAGCGAGUUCAACUACUGCCCCGCAACCGCAUUCGGCACUUUCAAGGACUACCCAUGAUGUACAUGACAUAUCCAAGGGACAAGAAAAUGUCAAGAUACCGAUAGCAAAUGAGUCUGGCAGAGGAAAAUGCCCACCAUCGUUUUCCUACGUACCAGGCAACGAGGUAUUUCAAAAUGGUAUUGUGAACAUCUCCCUUGCACAGAUUGGUGCUGAAGACUGUUGUGCUGAUUGCUUUGGCGACUGCUUGUCUGCGCCUGUACCAUGCGCUUGUGCAAGAGUCACCGGGGGUGAAUAUGCAUACACACCGGGCGGUUUGGUAAAGCCAGAUUUCAUUGACAAGUGUGUCUCCAUGAACCGGGUUCCCGAAGCACAUCACAAGGUCUUUUGCAAGACGUGCCCGCUCGAGAGGUCGAGAGAUAAAGCCUCACCAGAGCCUUGCAGGGGCCACCUUGUUCGGAAAUUCAUCAAGGAGUGCUGGAGCAAAUGCAGGUGCAGCACGCGGUGCGGCAACCGUGUGGUCCAACGCGGCAUAAGAUUCAACCUUGAGGUGUUUUCCACGGGAAAUGGGAGGGGUUGGGGGCUGCGCACGCAGAAUGCAUUGCCAAAAGGAGCUUUUGUGUGCGAAUAUGCGGGGGAAAUACUAACAUGCGCAGAAGUACAGGAGCGGGCGGUCGAGAACAUGAAGAAUGCUAGGUAUACACAUGCGGUAGUGUUGGAUGCUGGCUGGUCUUCGGGAGGGUCGCUGAAGGACGAAGAGGCCUUGUGCCUAGAUGGAACCUUUUAUGGGAAUGUUGGCAGAUUCAUCAACCACAGAUGCCGUGACUCAAAUCUGGCCAUGGUUCCUGUUCAAGUGGAGACUCCUGAUCGGCACUAUUACCAUGUUGCAUUCUUCACUAGCAGGAAGGUGGAGGCCCUAGAGGAACUGACAUGGGUAUGUAUGUAUGUAUGUAUGCACAGUUUGUUCUUGUUAAUAGUACUUAGUAAUGAAGCAAAGCAUAAGCAUUGUUUGUUGGUGAGACCAAGGAAGGUGUGUACGCGUCUGUAA
Molecule: ribosomal RNA, 1254 nt
Filed under: Triticum aestivum (bread wheat)
Lineage: Eukaryota; Viridiplantae; Streptophyta; Magnoliopsida; Poales; Poaceae
Description: partial small subunit ribosomal RNA
Source: RNAcentral